UUUGUGAUGCAUGUAACUUAGCACCACCAUGGACGCUGUCAAUUCAAUCGUUGCAUCUCAUUACAUCCACUAGUGGCCGCUGUGCCAGCACCUACGGACGGAGUCUCUAACACCAUGUCGGGUACGUACAUCGUAAUCACUCCAUCCGACUUUUUAUUACAUAUAGACGCAUUUUAAGUAUAGAUACAUUUAUAUUUGGACAAAUUUGAGACAGAGGGAGUAGUUAGCCGUUUUCCUCCACGGUUGGCGUAAGCGUAUCUCCCGUCUUCUCCCCUGUGUUCCCAUCCAGCAGAGCAUCGGGUGUUACAAAAACUUUUGUAGUGUAGAGGCGCGUCGGAGGACGGGUGCUGCAAAUGCAAAUCGAAUCCCUUGCUCUUCUGCUCGCGGGAGUUUCCCUCCCCUAUGACAUCGGCAGCCGCAGGCAGGCACUCGACCACCAAAGGCAGGCCAACCUUGGACUCAGAGAAGCAGCGAGGAGAGGAGGGCGUCCGCUCCUGGCAAUCAAGGGACGCCAGCAUGAUGAAUCGAUGGAACAUGGCCACACAAGGGAAACCAUCUGGCAAGAAAUAGGAAACAUGUGUGUACCUGACGAGACUUGGAUAUUUCGAAGAAUCGGUGGCAGGUCUUUGAGCAAGUAGGGGGGGAGUGUGUGACAGGAAGAAAGCAAGACUAGAGCAUAUAUCAGCAUAAGCUGCAGCGCAUGCACACCCACGCCAGGGAGAAGAGAUGUGGGAGGUUGGUAAUUGAGUUAAGCCACUCAUUCAUUUCAUUUUGUCACCUGUUGCCGAUUUCAUGAACCGUGUAGUUCUUUCAUAUUCCAGCUAGUUAAUAUGUUCCUAAUGGGUAUAUUGCAUUCAUGUUACUACAGCUUUGUUUAGGGAAAUGGGAAGUCUCAGAGCUCCUAUUUGUGCCAAAAAACUAUCGCUCAAAUAUAUAAUUCACCAAACAAGAAGUGGAAAAGAAAAGAACAUGCUGGUAGUUUAGAGAUGAAUGGAAGCAGAUUUCUAAAAUCAAGCUGCUCCAUGAAGUUCAGAAGUAAAUACUGAUAGUGACGUCACUAGUUAUUCAACAUGGAACAUUGUUCACUGAGCAUUCCUUAUAUUUUAAUUUGAGUGGGGUAUAUCUUCAGUUUCUUGUGGUGGUAGUAAGAAGCUCAAAUUCUUCUCAAUGUAAUAUCAUAAUUUUGAAAGAAGUCUGCAGGAGAGGCUUGACAGAGAAAACAUGUACAAAUAUAUACAAGGUACACACAGAGCAGAGGACUGAAAGAGCAAUGGACAGGGAUACAAGGCAGGAUACAGACGCCACUAAAUCUAGCAAAUCACGAAGAGCAGAUCGAGAACUAUCCUUAAG
This is a long non-coding RNA of Brachypodium distachyon (stiff brome), 1350 nucleotides long. RefSeq lists it as uncharacterized. The transcript has 2 exons. Lineage: Eukaryota; Viridiplantae; Streptophyta; Magnoliopsida; Poales; Poaceae. The record is from RefSeq and is a predicted model, not a curated record.